UACGGAGGGGGCUAGCGUUGUUCGGAAUUACUGGGCGUAAAGGGCGCGUAGGCGGACAGUUUAGUCAGAGGUGAAAGCCCAGGGCUCAACCUUGGAAUUGCCUUUGAUACUGGCUGUCUUGAGUUCGGGAGAGGUGAGUGGAAUGCCGAGUGUAGAGGUGAAAUUCGUAGAUAUUCGGCGGAACACCAGUGGCGAAGGCGACUCACUGGCCCGAUACUGACGCUGAGGCGCGAAAGCGUGGGGAGCAAACAGG
Molecule: ribosomal RNA, 253 nt
Filed under: uncultured bacterium
Lineage: Bacteria
Description: partial 16S ribosomal RNA
Rfam family: Bacterial small subunit ribosomal RNA
Source: RNAcentral